This 253-nucleotide ribosomal RNA is filed under the name uncultured bacterium. RNAcentral's name for it is "partial 16S ribosomal RNA". It matches the Rfam family "Bacterial small subunit ribosomal RNA", at positions 524 to 776 of the family's 1533-position model. The record is from RNAcentral.
UACGUAGGGGGCAAGCGUUGUCCGGAAUCAUUGGGCGUAAAGAGCGCGUAGGCGGCCCUGUAAGUCCGCUGUGGAAGUCAAGGGCUCAACCCUUGGAUGCCGGUGGAUACUGCAGGGCUAGAGUCCGGAAGAGGCGAGUGGAAUUCCUGGUGUAGCGGUGAAAUGCGCAGAUAUCAGGAGGAACACCGAUGGCGAAGGCAGCUCGCUGGGACGGUACUGACGCUGAGGCGCGAAAGCGUGGGGAGCGAACAGG